RNAcentral lists this ribosomal RNA (494 nucleotides) under uncultured bacterium. RNAcentral describes it as "partial 16S ribosomal RNA". It matches the Rfam family "Bacterial small subunit ribosomal RNA", at positions 28 to 507 of the family's 1533-position model. The record is from RNAcentral.
GACGAACGCUGGCGGCGUGCUUAACACAUGCAAGUCGAACGGUGAAGCGCCUUCCUUGUUGGUGGGUGUGGAUGAGUGGCGAACGGGUGAGUAACACGUGAGUAACCUUCCCCCUUCUUCUGGAUAACCGCAUGAAAGUGUGGCUAAUACGGGAUAUUCUGGGUCUUUCGCAUGAUGGGUCUGGGAAAGCUAUUGUUUCGGUGGGGGAGGGGCUCGCGGCCUGUCGGCUUGUUGGUGGGGUGAUGGGCUACCAAGGCUGGGAGGGGUGGCCGGCCUGGGAGGGUGGACGGCCUGAGUGGGAGUGCGACACCGUCGAGACUGAUACGGGGGGCAGCCGCGGAGGGUAGUGCGCAGUGGGGAAUAGUGUGCUGCGGCGGCGCGGCGGAUGCGAUGGAGGCCUUCGGGUUAUGAACCCCUUUCGGCAGUGAAGCAGGCCUGCCUGGGUUGUAGGGGGGUUGACGGUAACUGGAUAAGAAGCGCCGGCUAACUACGUG